This 777-nucleotide long non-coding RNA is filed under the name Homo sapiens (human). RNAcentral describes it as "HSALNT0369040". The record is from RNAcentral. Lineage: Eukaryota; Metazoa; Chordata; Mammalia; Primates; Hominidae.
CCUCCACUACCCUCCUGCCUCAGCCUCCCGAGUAGCUGGGAUUACAGAGGUGAGGGUCUCACUACAUUGUCCAGCCUAGUCUUGAACUCCUGGCCUCAAGAACCGUCUCACCUUGGACUCCUAAAACUGCUGGGAUUACAGAUGAAGAGGCUCUCCAUUCCACAUUCCCCACUGAUUUGAAGAGAUUCUCCAUGUUGGUCAGGCUGGUCUCGAACUCCUGACCUCAGGUGAUCCACCUGCCUCGGCCUCCCAAAGUGCUGGGAUUACAGACGUGAGCCACCGUGCCAGGCCCAUAUCCCCCUCCUGAUAAGACCCUCAGCUGCCAAUUUCUUGGAUUCUGUCUUUGAAUAAUGUAACUUGACUGUCCAACUUAAAAGCAAGAGAAGUUCAAGGAUGAGCAGCACUGAAUCUAUGGAGGCAAAAACCCUUGCAGAAGAAAGAGAAGCUGGAGGGAAACUGAUUGCCUCAAAGCCCAUUGCUUCCCAGAGCACAAGCCAGGGACCACCAGCCUCAGAGUCUCCAGGAGUUUGUUCAACUCAUUGAUUCCUGGAGCCCAUUCCAGACCUACUGAGUCAGAAUCUCUGGGAGUGGUAUCGUGGGAUCCAAAUUUUUAGCAAUAUUGAUUUUAACAAUAUGUAAUGCACCCUGAAGUUUGAGAACAUGUACUUUUUCUUACAGGUGAUUUUAUGUAGAGAAUUCAACUGACAAGAAGGUCCCUCGUGCCCUUAACCUUGUCCCCACCCCUUUGGGGCCCUCAGUGCUUUACUUACCAGUCCU